This 69-nucleotide non-coding RNA is filed under the name uncultured Faecousia sp. RNAcentral's name for it is "Glycine riboswitch". It matches the Rfam family "Glycine riboswitch aptamer", at positions 7 to 88 of the family's 94-position model. From Rfam's summary of the family: This family represents the bacterial glycine riboswitch. Lineage: Bacteria; Bacillati; Bacillota; Clostridia; Eubacteriales; Oscillospiraceae. The record is from RNAcentral.
GGCUCAGGAGAGCUCCGAACACGGACGCCGAAGGGGAAAGCAGAAACUCUCAGGCAAAAGGACUGUGCC